GAACGCACCUUGCGCUCCUUGGUAUUCCGAGGAGCAUGCCUGUUUGAGUGUCAUUAAAUCAUCAAACCUUACAAUUUUGAAAGGCUUGGAUUUGGGAGCGUUGUUGGCCUUUCUUUUUGGUCAGCUCUCCUUAAAUGCAUUAGCUAGAAGCUUUUUGUAGCCAUCUCUUGGUGUGAUAAUUAUCUAUACCAUUGAAUGUACAAGGCUUUUUGCUUCUAACCGGCGUCUAAUGGGACAAUUUUGACAAUUUGACCUCAAAUCAGGUAGGACUACCCGCUGAACUUAAG
This 287-nucleotide unclassified non-coding RNA is filed under the name Pholiotina arrhenii. RNAcentral's name for it is "sequence contains 5.8S rRNA gene". The stretch from base 1 to 53 matches the Rfam family "5.8S ribosomal RNA", at positions 102 to 154 of the family's 154-position model. Lineage: Eukaryota; Fungi; Basidiomycota; Agaricomycetes; Agaricales; Bolbitiaceae. The record is from RNAcentral.